RNAcentral lists this ribosomal RNA (80 nucleotides) under Lotus japonicus. RNAcentral's name for it is "partial 28S ribosomal RNA". It matches the Rfam family "Eukaryotic large subunit ribosomal RNA", at positions 1 to 78 of the family's 3401-position model. RNAcentral also lists the same sequence under 15 other names. The record is from RNAcentral. Lineage: Eukaryota; Viridiplantae; Streptophyta; Magnoliopsida; Fabales; Fabaceae.
UGAGACCUCAGGUCAGGCGGGGCUACCCGCUGAGUUUAAGCAUAUCAAUAAGCGGAGGAAAAGAAACUAACAAGGAUUCC